AUCAGGAAAGCCAAAGAGAUGAGGAUGACAGAAAGAACUGCACGGGUGAGCCAUAUUUGCAGCAGUCCAUCUGUGGCAACAGAGAAGAAAAGAGUGGAAAUACAUGUGUUGGAGGGAAGCAGAAAGGUCAGAGAAGAGAAGAUGCUCCUCUACUGGCUUUGGAGAUGGAGAAGGAGCCACAAGCCAAGAGAGUGCGGGAGGCCUUUAGAAGCUGGAGAAGCAAAGAAGGGGAUUCUCCCUAGAGCCUCCAGAAAAAAACACAGCCCUGCCAACAUCUUGAUUUUAGGACUUCUGACCUCCAGCACUCUAAGCUCAUGGAAGGCAGGGACUGCACCCUGGCCCCGGUGGAUCCCCAGCACCCAGCGGAGUGGCCAGCAUGGGGGUACUUCAUCGGAAGGAGGAGGAGAAAGAACAGACUCGUAGAGCAACUGUGAGGCGUCUCCGUGUUGAGGUGAUGUUGAAACCUCCACACCCUCCAUCCUCUGAAGUUUGCUGUGCCCUAGGGGCUCUGCCAUUGUUCUCUGUGAUGUUAGAGGUAACUGGGAGAGUGUCCAAGGUCAGACCCAUUUCCUGUCUUACAUAAAGUGCUUUUAUUUUAUAUUCUCUGUUCUCCUCUCCCAGGCCACAGAACCUAGAGGCUCUUCCUGCAGAGUGGUGGAGAGGGAGGGCAGAGGAGUCUACCUUCUUCGAAUCCUGAUGCCACCACUGAUCAGCGUUGUGGCAUUGGUCAAUUUCCCUAAGCCUCAGUUGCCCCAUCUGUAAAACAGGGCUAAUAGUAGAGAGUUGUUCUCUAGAUUAAGUGAGACAAUAAUACUUAGUAAAUGGUUAGUCUAAUUAAUUACCCUUAUCAAUGGUUACUCUAAUUAAUUACCCUUAUCUUAGGAAAAGUUCAAAAGGUUCUGCUCCCAGGAAAUAAUGCAUAAAACCUUAAGAAAUAAGAGACCCUUGAGAAUUGCAAGCCCACUUUACACAAAGAGAAAAUGGACCUAGAGAGCGAAAGGGACUUGUCCCAGGUUGCACAGCCAACCAGAGGCAAUGCCAGGGUGAAAACUGGGCACUGAGCUCCCAGCACAGGGAGCUCCUGUGCCUCACACGCCCCACUGGAUGGGGGAGAAGGGCAGUUACAAAUUCUUUUUUUUUAAAACAAUGGUUAGCAUCUUUUUAUUUGCAGGUAUCAGGAGCACAAAUAUAUAUAGCCAGCUAGUAUACUACUAGUCUCUAGUGUGUUGAUGGAGCCCCUGAUAGGAGGGCUUGGUGCCCUUUCUUUAUCCUGUUUCUCUUUUCCUUUUGGCUACUUACUGCUCCAGCCUACUCUCUGUAGUACCUUGUUGUCUGUCCAUGUGAGACUAGUCAUAUACUUACAUCAUUAAUAUCAAACUAGAGUUCUUAGUACCCCUGUCUACAUGUCUUAAAUAUUUGGAGGUUUUGGGGUUUUCUUUAAUAGACUUUGUUUCUUUUUUAUUUAUUUAUUUUUGGCGGAAUUGGGUCUUCGUUGCUG
This is a long non-coding RNA of Aethalodelphis obliquidens (Pacific white-sided dolphin), 1498 nucleotides long. RefSeq lists it as uncharacterized. The record is from RefSeq and is a predicted model, not a curated record. The transcript is spliced from 4 exons. NCBI's taxonomy places the organism in Eukaryota, Metazoa, Chordata, Mammalia, Artiodactyla, Delphinidae.